Molecule: long non-coding RNA, 416 nt
Filed under: Gallus gallus (chicken)
Lineage: Eukaryota; Metazoa; Chordata; Aves; Galliformes; Phasianidae
Description: lncRNA (ENSGALG00010004989.1)
Source: RNAcentral
AUUGACCAAUAAGAUAUUAGAAGUAUUAAAAGCUACAGCACUGAAAGCUGAAAAGAGUAAAGAGAGUUUCACAUGUAAGAUAAGGUGUAACGCUUCCUGGCAGGUUGGAUGUCACUCUUGGGGGCUCCUCUUUCAAUUGCACAGGCCUCAGUGGUCGCAUGUUUGGCACUGGUGAAGGAAGAGCUAGGUUGAACUGCAUACUACAGUGAUGUGUCUGGCACCUUGAGGAUGAUUUAGGGAGGGUAAGUAAAACACUUUUGCCUGUCAUGAAAAGGACAGAUCACGAUCAGUCUGUCACAUAUAAUUUGACAAUUUGCAAUGCUUGAACAACGGGAGGCCAAGGAACAUAUUUCAAACAUUGCUACUGAUAGAAGAGUUUUACAGUAGCUCCCAAUUUCUAUGCUGAAUAAAAGUCC